RNAcentral lists this long non-coding RNA (1555 nucleotides) under Homo sapiens (human). RNAcentral's name for it is "HSALNT0307461". The record is from RNAcentral. Lineage: Eukaryota; Metazoa; Chordata; Mammalia; Primates; Hominidae.
GUGGUUCUCUCCUGCUAACUUCUAAAGUUGAAGCUAAGGGGAUCAUUAUUUAUCUGGAGACUAUAAGGCUGUGCUGUCCAGUAUGGUAGUCACCAGCCUCAUGUGGCUGUUGAGAACUUGAAAUGUGGCUAGUCCGGAUCGAGAUGUGCUCUGAAUACAGACAAUAUGGAGGCCUCAGGCUCAGAGGAUGGCAGAGUCUUCAGAUGGAUGGAGGGAGCUGCAGUCACUGAACCACUGCAGGGAGAGAAGUACUCACAGACCAGGAACGCUCAACUUGGACUGUUAUGUGACAGAAAGAACUUGAUGUAUACCUCCUGACCUGUUCAUCUUGUAGCUGCCUCUUGACAGACUUGUGACUGCUUUGCCCAAAAAAGCAUGAUGGAAGUGAUGCCAUGAGGCUGUUACUGAGGCUGGAUCACAAGACCAUGCAGCUUCUGCCUUAUCACUCUUCAGCCCUGAGAUUCCAGAUAUAAGAGGCCGCCCUGUAGAGGAGGAAGGAGGAAGUUGGCUGUGAUUGACCUUGCUAGGUCAUCUUCCUAAUCUUUGUCCUUUCCUGCACCCCAAAUGGAAGAUAAAAGGCAAUGCAAGAUCAGCAUCCUCAGAGACAUCGUUUUGUUUGGGUUUCAUGGAUUGCAAUUGCCAGAGAUGCUUAGGCUGCCUCUAGAGGGAAGAUGAUUGAUUGUUAACCUAUGUGGUCCAACCAAAUGUCUUAGGGGUUAUUGAUAAUUAAAAUGGACAAUAGCGAUUUUCCAUUUCUUCUGGCCUUGGGUGCUGGCAUGUGGAAGUGGUAUUGAUACUCAUGACCAAAUAGGCACUUAUCGAUUUCAGUUUUCAUAAGUUGCCUACCAAAUGCAAACUAGUAACCCAGACGUGGGAGACCUAAUAUUCCAUUGUUAAUCUUUAGGUCCAUAAUUUUUAUUUCCUCUACUUGCCUCUUCUUCCUUCCUCUGCAUAAUGAGUUGGGCUUAUAUAAUUGCACCCAUUUACUCACUCAUUCGUUCAAUCAAUUAUUUGUUCCUAUUUUAUGCCAAGUAAUGAACAGAAGGUGUUGGGGAUGCAAAACCCAACUAAUUGGAAUUUCUAUGUUACAGGAGCUUAUGCUUUAGUGAAAUUAUAGACAAAUUAUUAUACAGUUUUAAUCCAGAAUAGUAAGUGCUAUGGGAGCAUGCACAGAGGAAACAACCCAAUCUUAAGGAAUCAGGAAGGUUUGCAGAGGACUGACAGGAAAAGUGGGCAGGUGAAGAAGAUGGGCAGUGAGAGGAGGAGUGGAAGCACUUUUGCUAGGGAAAAACAUGAAUAAAAGGGAUAAUUUUCUGCUCUUACCCCUGGGUGAUCUUUGCGUGGUACUGUCCAUCACAGUUGGGAGAGACGGCUCCUCAGAGCUGCUCCACACUGUUCACAGAGGAUGCCAUUCCAAGGAAACUGGGGAAUAGGGAAAGUCUUUAGCUUAUUCCUCUUUGAGGUUUGUUUGAGAUGCAGUUUCUUCAAUAUUUUGAGUCUAUGAAAACAUGUUGUAUACUUAAAUAUAUACCACAAAAAAUAAAAAAAAUUGCGA